UAAAUAUUGCACUUAAAAUCUUGGUUUUGCGUGCUUGCCAAAAUUUAGUUAAUAAGCAGCCUUGAUACAAAAAAGUUUCAUUCAUUCUGUUGGUUUGUUGAGAAUGAAUUCGCCUCUUGACUUUCAUUUGUGGCAAUUGAAAUCAUAUUCAGGAUAGAAAUUCAUUUUAGUUUAAAUCAACACAAACUCUUGUUACCAUCAUCUUAUGAUUUAUCACAGUUUUACUGUAAAAUAAAUGAAAUAUCCAUUUCCCCCUCUUAUUUCCUUCUCUUACAUUUCUGAAUUGAAGGUGUUUACAUUUUCAGAGUAUUUGAAUAAUAGCAGGG
Molecule: unclassified non-coding RNA, 326 nt
Filed under: Hevea brasiliensis (rubber tree)
Lineage: Eukaryota; Viridiplantae; Streptophyta; Magnoliopsida; Malpighiales; Euphorbiaceae
Source: RNAcentral